This 93-nucleotide non-coding RNA is filed under the name unclassified sequences. The record is from RNAcentral.
CAGGAAUGGCCAGCGAUGGAAGGCAGGGCAAGGGGUUAUGGGCCAUGGACGGCGCAGCAAAGCCCGGGUUCGGAGAGCAUAGAAAACCAUACA